Molecule: ribosomal RNA, 1337 nt
Filed under: Ctenophora environmental sample
Lineage: Eukaryota; Metazoa; Ctenophora
Description: partial Archaeal small subunit ribosomal RNA
Rfam family: Archaeal small subunit ribosomal RNA
Source: RNAcentral
UGUUUGAUCCUGCGAGAGAUUUCUGCUAGAGGAGUUAGAUUAAGCCAUGAAAGUAUGUUAGCAAUAACUGCAGAAGGCUGAGUAACACGUCAUUAAUCUGUCUUAUUUUCUCUAAUAAUCUUGGGAAACUGAGUGUAAAGGAGAUAGGUAUUAAAGAUUGGAAUAUUUUAAUAUUGAAGAUAAGGGGAGAUGGCGACUGAUUAGAUUGAUGGUGAGGUAAUGGCUCACCAUGUCUAUAAUCAGUAGGGGUUGUGGGAGCAAUAACCUCCAGAAGGACACUGAGACAAGGGUCCUAGCUCUAAGGAGUGCAGCAGGUGCGAAAACUCUACAAUGCACGAAAGUGUGAUAGGGUAACUCCUUGUACCUAUCCAAAAGAUAGGUUUUUAUUAAGAUUAGUAAAUUUAAUGAAUAAGUGAUGGGCAAGACUGGUGCCAGCAGCCGCGGUUAUACCAGCGUCACAAGUGGAAAUCAUUAUUAUUGGGUCUAAAGUGUUCGUAGCUGGUUUUUUAAGUUUUUUGUCAAAUUUUCAGUUUCAAACUGAAAUUUGCAAAAAAUACUAAGAAACUUGAAAUCGGAAGAGGUGUAAAGUAUUGAAAGGGUAGCGGUAGAAUGUUAUAAUCCUUUUAGGACUAACUAUGGCGAAGGCAUUACACUGGGACGAAUUUGACAGUCAGGAACGAAAGUUAGGGGAGCAAACCGGAUUAGAUACCCGGGUAGUCCUAACUGUAAACACUGUGGGUUAAGUUUUACCAAUUCUAUGAGAUUUGGUAGAAUUGUAGCGAAGGCGUUAAACCUACCACCUGGGAAGUACAGCCGCAAGGCCGAAACUUAAAGGAAUUGCCGGGGGAGUACUACAAGCGGUGCGGCGUGCUGUUUAAUUUAACUACACACAGAGAAACUCACCAAGAGCGACAGCACAAUGAAGGUCAGAUUAAAGGUCUUACCUGAGGCGCUGAGAGGUGUUGCAUGGCCGCCGUCAGCUCGUGCUGUAAAGUGUCCUCUUAAGUGAGGAAACGAGCAAGACCUAUACCUAUAAUUACUAAUUGGAUUAGCCAAUGUACUUUAUAGGGACUGCCUUGGAAACAAGGAGGAAGGUGUAGGCAACGGUAGGUCUGUAUUGCCCGAAUCUCUUGGGCUACAAGCGCGCAACAAUGGCAAGUACAAUGAGAUGCAACUCCGAGAGGAGAAGCCAAUCUUUAAAACUUGUCUUAGUUUAGAUUGAGGUUUGUAACUCAACCUCAUGACAUCGGAAUCGCUAGUAAUCAGAUGUUAUCAGCAUCUGGUGAAUAUGUCCAUUCUCCUUGGACACACUGCCCGUCAAACCAACCAAGCGGGAU